CCGCGAGGCUGGACAGCUCCCGGAACCCCGGAACCGGGAUCUAUUUCGGGGGCUCGGCCGCGUGGCGCCCAGGACUCUCCAGGGUCUCCCAGGAUCGCUCCCCGGAUUCGAGUCGCCCCCUCUCUCUUUCGGGAAUACCAGCUGAUGUCAGUCCGCCAGCCAAAACCAGGGAGGAGAAGCGGGAGCCGGCCCUCUGGAGUCGGGAGAAGGUCUGGGGAGUGGGGUAGAGGGGAAAGCAAAGUCCAAAUACCUUCCCUUCAGACACCUCCUGGGGCCUAGACCCCACAAACCUGUUGUGGGGAGGGCAAAAUACGAUGACUACGUUCCCAGGAAGAAGGUGCCACAGCUCUUCAGGACCACGGUUGGGAGAAAGAAGGGAGGGGUUUUAGAACCUUCAGUGUGCGACUUCAUGUGCCAGUCUUCAUCUCAGGAUCUCAAGCUCUUGGAUCAUGGGCACGGAUAACCUGUUGUCCUCCUCUAUGGUCAAGAGGCUGCUUUUGCAAAGAAUCCAGUGGGAGAGAGUCAAUGGCCUGCUUGACGUGAACUCCAAAGUCCUCCUGGAACAGGGGCUCACUCUGUUGCCCACAUUGGAGUGCAGUGGAAGAAUCAUGGCAUGCUGCAGUCUUGAGCUUCUAGGCUCAAGAGAUCCUCCUGGUUCAGUCUCCCAAGUAGCUAGGACAGCAGGCAUAUUUUUUGUAGAUAUGGGGUCUUGCUUUUUUGCCGAGGCUGGUCUCGAACUCCUGGCUUCAAGCAAUCUUCCUGCAUCAGUCUCUUAAAGUGUUGGGAUUCCAGGCAUGAACCACUGCACCUGGCCCUCGGGAAGUUUUAUUUUUAGCCUAGGGUUGGGGUUAAGUUUGCAUCAUGAUGUUGAGACCUCCAAAGGAGAACUUAUUGUAGUCAUUCCUGAGCUCAGGUGUCCAAACUGUCUAAUUGGAGAAUCUGGGAAUUUUCUCUCGUUUUGAUUUUCCUCUUCCACUUUUCCAUGCCAGUUGGAUGUUUGAAUGUUUUUAUCGACCUCUGAGAGCAUCCGGGUAACUGAGGGUUUACUUUGGGGGUCUUUGGAGAUGAAUAGGGACAGGAGACCUCACCUUUCUUUUCCAUGUAGCCAUAGGAGAUAGUCCCACGAUCUGAUGAUCUGUAGCAAUGGGUAGAGGAAGGGCCGUAUUAGGAACAGAAGCUAGUUUCGUCAUGGGAAGUCCCCUGUUUUCCACUCCUGAGGGCCCUCACAUUCCCUUUCUAAGCCCCUUUCUGCUUUUGCUAUUAAAAAAUACAGUUUUUAAAUCGCAA
This 1287-nucleotide long non-coding RNA is filed under the name Pan troglodytes (chimpanzee). Its description in RNAcentral is "lincRNA". Lineage: Eukaryota; Metazoa; Chordata; Mammalia; Primates; Hominidae. The record is from RNAcentral.